GCCCGGUUCUUGUCCUGAGCCCAGUUCUGGUCCCGGUUCUGGUCCUGAGCCCGGUUCUGGUCCCGGUUCUGAUCCUGAGCCCGGCUCCGAGCCCGGUUCUAGUCCCGGUUCUGGUCCCGAGCCCGGUUUUGAUCCCGGUCCUGAUCCCUGUCCCGGUUCCGGUUCUGGUCCUGAUCCCGGUUUUAGUCCUGAGCCCGGUCCCGGUCCUGAUCCCGAUCCUGAUCCCGGUUUUAGUCCUGAGCCCGGUCCUGAUCCCAGUUCUGACCCCGGUCCUGAUCCUGGUUCUGAUCUCGGUCCCGGUUCUGAUCCCGAUCCUGAUCCCGGUUUUAGUCCUGAUCCCGAUCCCAGUCCUGAUCCCGAUCCUGAUCCCGGUCCCGAUCCCGGUCCUGAUCCCGAUCCCGAUCUCGGUCCUGAUCCUGGUUUUAUCCCGAUCCCCGUUCUGAUCCCGAUCCCGGGGUGGCUCCCAGUGCUCCCAGUAACGGCUCCCAGUCCCUCCCAGUCCAUCCCAGUUUAUCCCAGUUCAUCCCAGUCCAUCCCAGUCCAUCCCAGUCCAUCCCAGUCCCUCCCAGUUUAUCCCAGUCCCUCCCAGUCCAUCCCAGUUUAUCCCAGUUCCCUCCCAGUCCAUCCCAGUCCAUCCCAGUCCCCUCCCAGUCCAUCCCAGUCCAUCCCAGUCCCUCCCAGAGCCCCUCCCAGUCCAUCCCAGUCCCUCCCAGUUCAUCCCAGUCCAUCCCAGUCCAUCCCAGUUCCCUCCCAGUCCCUCCCAGUCCCUCCCAGUUCCCUCCCAGUCCAUCCCAGUCCAUCCCAGUCCAUCCCAGUCCAUCCCAGUCCCUCCCAGUUUAUCCCAGUUUGCCUCAGAGUCCCCAGCUCGGCCUCUCCCAGCUCAGCUCUGCCCGGA
Long non-coding RNA from Cyanistes caeruleus (blue tit), 895 nucleotides. The record is from Ensembl. NCBI's taxonomy places the organism in Eukaryota, Metazoa, Chordata, Aves, Passeriformes, Paridae.